Molecule: long non-coding RNA, 2603 nt
Organism: Engraulis encrasicolus (European anchovy)
Lineage: Eukaryota; Metazoa; Chordata; Actinopteri; Clupeiformes; Engraulidae
Exons: 3
Source: RefSeq, a predicted model, not a curated record
AGGCCGGAAGGUGACCCUCGAAAAGUGCUUCAGAAACCGAACUUCGCUCCACAGCCUCCGAACAAACAGACAUUCAGUUCAUAAAAAAGAAAGACUUAUAUAGAGGAUUUAAAACCUCUGUUCGGAAUAGUCCGCACUGCAAGGCUAUUCAAAUUCGCAACGUGUAAUGACGAACUACUGUCUCCGAGGCGUAUGUAGAUAUUCGGCCGGCGUAAUAAUACUUUUCGCCUCGAGAGGUGCCACGGUUGAAGCGUCAUCAGAAGGAACGAAUCAGCUAACUGCUAUGUCAGCUGAGAUGAGGAGUAAACGGAAGUAGCAUGGCUACCGAAGGAGCUGGUCGACCAUCUAGUAGUACCGGGGAAGACGAAAUCUCGACCGAAAAUGUACAAAAAAAAGACAUCUUCGAAACGCAAGUUGUGUUACAUGCAUAUAUCUUCGGUCAAGCAUGAAGAAACACAGCAUUUCACCAAUAUACGGUGGAAUACAUAUCGAAAUUUUCGGCAGCGGCUAGAAUUGAAGGGUGAGUGCAGAGACGUAGCAGAACAUGUAUUGAGUUGGAGUUUGACGAAAUUCCCGAGGAUGCGGCUCUCCAUCCCACAUGCUACCGGAGGUUUAUUGACAAGCGGGAAAUUGAACGAGUCACACGGCGUGUCUUGCGAGAGGCAGAGAGGGGAGAUGGCCAACAAGACCCCCGAACUAGCCAGGCUACCUCCGCUUUAUCGGCUGUGACCACCACUCCGACCAGGAAACUGCGAUCCAGAUCAAGCUUGGCCAUCACGAGCUCUGGCCCCGUUCUUCCUGCUGUCUGCAUGAUUUGCAAGAAAGACAGCAAAUUUAUCGUCGCGAGUGGCAGACGUCAAAGAGAACGAAAACACAGACUUUAACCGCAGGUAAGAUUACUCUCACCCCCACCACACAGUCUAUGCGAAUGCAUCCCAUCCCCCAAAACACACACACACACACACACACACACACACACACACACACACACACACACACACACACACACACACACACACACACACACACAGAGAUGUUAGUAGAAGUUGACUGACUAUCUAGCCCACACUGCUGCACAAUCAUUGUUUUUUUUGUCUAAUUCUAAUAUGAAUGCACGUGUGAAUUGGCAUAAUGUGUUAUGUGUGUGGGUGUGAAAUUACAUUCCAAUAGCCUGCAAAACAUCCCCAUGCCUAUAGUACCCCCAGUGUUUUAGGUUUUAGAUGUUUAAAUGAAUCACACUUUGUCUUAAAUAGGAUAGGGUAUGUUUAUAUGGAUGUCAAAGCAUGCCUGAUGUUGAUAUGACUCUGAAUAUCUGUUCAGAAAUGUGGCUCCUCAGCCUGAUGGCCUGUCUGGUUAAGACACUGCUUCUGCCAUCCCAUCCCCCGUGCCAUUCCCCUACCCCCCACUGCCCCCCUCUCUCACUUGUACACUUGGGAUUUUUCCGCUUCUGUCCCUGGGCAGCCUCAGUGACCAGGCUCAAGAGGUGUGUCCUGGCUGUGCUGUACAUCUGUGUGCUUAACCCCUUAGCACAGCACCUAUGUUAUAACCUUACUGUCACCAAAAUUUUAAUAUGUAUGUCUUAAUCUGUUACUCUGCACUGUCAUAGCAAUGUUGUUAUGAUGUAGUUUUCAGCAAAUAGUGAAUAAGCCCGCUGGCAACCCCAUCUGCACUGCAGUAAGAGGCUACGGAAUGCUUUUUUGGGGGGUGCAACACCCAUCGCCAUUUUUUUUUUUACAAUACCACUCCACCAGGAAAAAUGUCUAAUUGUUUGCCUGUCUAUUUAUUCAUUCUUUUUUCUUUUCUUUUGUACAAGGCAAGUUGCAGGAAGCAGCUGAAGUAAAGGAAGCCAAGAGCAUCCUCAUUCACAUCAAGGACAGAGACUGUGUGGCUCUGGAGGUGCAGUACCACAGAAGUUGCUACAGAGAGUACACAAGGUUUUUGAGUGAGCCUGUCAGAACAGAGAAAGAACAGAUUGGGCCAACAUUUGAUCUGAGCUACAAGUUAUUCUGCGAGAGGGUAAUCCGCUAAAGGCUACUGAUCAACCAAGAGGUGCUGAGGAUGAGCCAACUGAGGAAGGCCUUUAUUGCCCUUGUGCAGUCAAGUGAAGGUGUUGAUGCUUCAACCUACAGACAGGAUAUAUUGAAGAAGAGGCUCAGUCGUGAUUUUCCUCAGCUAGUGUUCCACACCCCCGCCAAACGCAACACAUCUGAACUGGUUUUUGCUGAGAACUUGUCGACGAAUGCAGUCUUGAACUUGUUACCAUCAGGUGCGGAGACGACUCAGUCCAGCGAAAUGAGCCAGACAGACAGCGACACAGAAAGGAGGAAGUCAAAGCAACCAACCACAGCAGAGGAGACACGGACACUUUACACAGCAGCUUUGCUUUUGAAGAGGCUGCUUAGUCACAGUCCUGGCAUGUCAUGCCCAUGGCCCCCAACUGCAGUAAACUUCAAUCUCACUGAAGUCAUUUGCUGUGGCAUGCGCAAAAGAUGUGUACCUGGAUGCUUUCACACAGUUCAUGAAAAUGCCGGUUCAUGUGUAUGCCACUUGUUUUGAUUUUUUUAUUUGUUGUAUAGUUAUUAGUGAAUAAAUGAAUACAUGAA